RNAcentral lists this unclassified non-coding RNA (325 nucleotides) under uncultured Eurotiomycetes. RNAcentral describes it as "sequence contains ITS1". The stretch from base 1 to 105 matches the Rfam family "5.8S ribosomal RNA", at positions 50 to 154 of the family's 154-position model. The record is from RNAcentral. Lineage: Eukaryota; Fungi; Ascomycota; Eurotiomycetes.
GAAAUGCGAUAAGUAGUGUGAAUUGCAGAAUUCCGUGAAUCAUCGAAUCUUUGAACGCACAUUGCGCCCUCUGGUAUUCCGGGGGGCAUGCCUGUCCGAGCGUCAUUACGCACCCUCAAGCGCGGCUUGUGUGUUGGGCCCCCGCGUCCCCGCGUUCCGGGGGACGGGCCCGAAAGGCAGUGGCGGCGUCGCGGUUAUCCGAUCAGCCAGAGCGUAUGGGGACACUGUUCACACGCUCGGGGCGCGGACCGGCGCCGGCCUGGUCACCGAUUCUCUCUCCUCCACGGUUGACCUCGGAUCAGGUAGGGAUACCCGCUGAACUUAA